AUUAGUCAAUAUAGUGUAAUGAACUGAACAAUAUUGUGUAAUAAAUAUUUACCACAAUAUGAAUAUCACAUGAGCAAGCGAUCAAAAUAAGUAGGUAAUAUUUUACAUUCUUUGUGGCCGUGUUGUUAUAUCCUAUAUCAAGUAUUAGUCAACACACCUGCAGUUGUCCAUUCUCAUUAGUAAUUGAUAAAUUCUCUAUGUUUGUAUCCUUGAAAUAAUUAAAAUGAAUGUGAUAAACUGAACAAUGUUGUAUAAUAAAUAUAUAUCACAAAAUAAAUAUCAUAUCAGCAAGUGAUUAGUAUGAGGCGGGAAUAUCUUGCAUUCUUUGUGGCCUCUUUCUGAUAUCUUCUAUCAAGUUGAAGAUGUGUAAACUACAAGUCUACUUUAUCCGCAACAAUCUUUAACUUUUCCAUGCUCAUAGCCUUGAUAUAAUAUAAGUUACCCUAAAAUUAGUGUGAUCAAAUAAAGAAUCUAGUGUAUUAAAUAUUUUUAACAAAGUAAAUAUCACAUUAUCUUGCGAUUAGAAUGAGGAGGAAACAUCUUACAUUCUUUGUGGCCUCUUUUUUACACCCUCUGUCCAGUAGUAGUUGAGUAAACUGCAGCUGUCUUUAUCAGCAGCAAUUAUUAAAUUUUUUAUGCUCCUUACUUUAAAAUAAUAUAACUGACCUCAUAACAAGAGUAAUAAACUGAACAAUGUUAUGUAAAAAAUUUUGUCACAAAAUGUAUAUUCAACACAUCAGCUAGUGGUCAUAAAUAGCACUUUUGUUACACCCUCUAUCAAGUAAUUGGCAUGUACCUCAUAUAUCACAUGUAUCAAGAUUAAGUUUCCUUAAUAAAUGGAAUAAUCAAAUAUCAUACAUGUUUUUACAUCCUCUAUCAAGUAGAAGUCUACAUACCUCCAGGUGUCCUUUCUCAUCAGCAAACUGAGGAGGUAACAUCUUACAUUCUUUGUGGCCUCUUUUUUACACCGUAUGUCAAGGAGUAGUUGAGUAAACUGCAGCUUUCUUUAUCAGCAGCUAUUAUUAAAUUUUUUAUGCUCCUUACUUUAAAAUAAUAUAACUGACCUCAUAACUAGAGUAAUAAUCUGAACAAUGUUAUGUAAAAACAUUUUGUCACAAAAUAUAUAUUAAAAACAUCAGCUAGUGGUCAUGAAUAGCACUUUUGUUACACCCUCUAUCAAGUAAUUGACAUGUACCUCAUAUAUCACAUGUAUCAAGAUUAAGUUUCUGUAAUAAAUGGAAUAAUCAAAUAUCAUACAUGUUUUUACAUCCUCUAUCAAGUAGAAGUCUACAUACCUCCAGGUGUCCUUUCUCAUCAGCAAACUGAGGAGGUAACAUCUUACAUUCUAUGUGGCCUCUUUUUUACACUGUCUGUCAAGGAGUAGUUGAGUAAACUGCAGCUUUCUUUAUCAGCAGCUAUUAUUAAAUUUUUUAUGCUCCUUACUUUAAAAUAAUAUAACUGACCUCAUAACAAGAGUAAUAAACUGAACAAUGUUAUGUAAAAAAUUUUGUCACAAAAUAUAUAUUAAAAACAUCAGCUAGUGGUCAUGAAUAGCACUUUUGUUACACCCUCUAUCAAGUAAUUGACAUGUACCUCAUAUAUCACAUGUAUCAAGAUUAAGUUUCUGUAAUAAAUGGAAUAAUCAAAUAUCA
This is a long non-coding RNA of Mytilus californianus (California mussel), 1652 nucleotides long. RefSeq lists it as uncharacterized. NCBI's taxonomy places the organism in Eukaryota, Metazoa, Mollusca, Bivalvia, Mytilida, Mytilidae. The record is from RefSeq and is a predicted model, not a curated record. The transcript is spliced from 2 exons.